AGUGAACGCUGGCGGUAGGCCUAACACAUGCAAGUCGAACGGCAGCACAGUAAGAGCUUGCUCUUACGGGUGGCGAGUGGCGGACGGGUGAGGAAUACAUCGGAAUCUACUUUUUCGUGGGGGAUAACGUAGGGAAACUUACGCUAAUACCGCAUACGACCUACGGGUGAAAGCAGGGGAUCUUCGGACCUUGCGCGAUUGAAUGAGCCGAUGUCGGAUUAGCUAGUUGGCGGGGUAAAGGCCCACCAAGGCGACGAUCCGUAGCUGGUCUGAGAGGAUGAUCAGCCACACUGGAACUGAGACACGGACCAGACUCCUACGGGAGGCAGCAGUGUGGAAUAUUGGACAAUGGGGGCAAGCCUGACCCAGCGAGCCAGCGUGGGUGACGAAGGCGUUGGGGUUGUGAAGCCCUUUUGUUGGGAAAGAACCGCAGCAGGUUGAUACCCAGCUGUUCUGACGGUACCCAAAGAAUAAGCACCGGCUAACUUCGUG
This 492-nucleotide ribosomal RNA is filed under the name uncultured bacterium. RNAcentral's name for it is "partial 16S ribosomal RNA". It matches the Rfam family "Bacterial small subunit ribosomal RNA", at positions 29 to 507 of the family's 1533-position model. The record is from RNAcentral.